CUGUAGCUCAGUGGGACAGCGUGCAGAAGGUUCUGGGUUCAAUUCCCAGCAUCUCUGG
Molecule: transfer RNA, 58 nt
Filed under: Podarcis lilfordi (Lilford's wall lizard)
Lineage: Eukaryota; Metazoa; Chordata; Lepidosauria; Squamata; Lacertidae
Description: tRNA.Undet
Source: RNAcentral